RNAcentral lists this ribosomal RNA (468 nucleotides) under uncultured bacterium. Its description in RNAcentral is "partial 16S ribosomal RNA". It matches the Rfam family "Bacterial small subunit ribosomal RNA", at positions 28 to 507 of the family's 1533-position model. The record is from RNAcentral.
GACGAACGCUGGCGGCGUGCUUAACACAUGCAAGUCGAACGGAAAGGCCCUGCUUUUGUGGGGUGCUCGAGUGGCGAACGGGUGAGUAACACGUGAGUAACCUUCCCUUGACUUUGGGAUAACUUCAGGAAACUGGGGCUAAUACCGGAUAGGAGCUCCUGCUGCAUGGUGGGGGUUGGAAAGUUUCGGCGGUUGGGGAUGGACUCGCGGCUUAUCAGCUUGUUGGUGGGGUAGUGGCUUACCAAGGCUUUGACGGGUAGCCGGCCUGAGAGGGUGACCGGCCACAUUGGGACUGAGAUAAGGCCCAGACUCCUACGGGCGGCAGCAGUGGGGAAUAUUGCACCAUGGGCGGAAGCCUGAUGCAGCAACGCCGCGUGAGGGAUGACGGCCUUCGGGUUGUAAACCGCUUUCGCCUGUGACGAAGCGUGAGUGACGGUAAUGGGUAAAGAAGCACCGGCUAACUACGUG